RNAcentral lists this long non-coding RNA (1183 nucleotides) under Salmo salar (Atlantic salmon). RNAcentral's name for it is "lncRNA (ENSSSAG00000121131.1)". The record is from RNAcentral. Lineage: Eukaryota; Metazoa; Chordata; Actinopteri; Salmoniformes; Salmonidae.
GCCAGCUUGAUGGCGCCGACAGAGAUGGUCGUCUUGCUUCGCGUUCUUAGGAAACUAUGCAGAAUUUAGCUUUUUUAUGUAUUAUUUCUUACACUGUUACCCCAGGAAAUCUUAAGUCUUAUUACAUACAGCUGGGAAGAACUAUUGGAUAUAAGAGCAACGUAAACGUACAAACAUUACGACCAGGAAUACGACUUUCCCGAAGUGGAUCCUCUGUUCAGACCACCACCCAGGACAAUGGAAUGGAUCCCAGUAGGCGACCCAAAACAACGGCGCCGCAGAAGGGGCAAGACACACGGAGCGGUCUUCUGGUCAGGCUUCGUUGACGGCCACAUUGCUCACCGCUCCCGAGUAUACUACUCGCCAAUGUCCAUUCUCUUGACAACAAGGUAGACGAAAUUCGAGCAAGGGUUGCCUUCCAGAGAGACAGAGAUUGUAACAUUCUCUGUUUAACGGAAACAUGGCUCACUCGGGAUACCUUAUCAGAGUCGGUACAGCAACCCGGUUUCUUCACGCAUCGCACUGACAGAAACAAACAUCUCUCUGGUAAGAAGAAGGGCGGGGGUGUAUUCCUUAUGAUUAAUUCUUUCAAAAACAAGAACAUUUCUAAGUGACCCCAAACUUUUGAACGGUAGUGUAUAUAUUUACCAAAACAUUAUAUGGGGGAUUGGAAAUGAUGCAGACAAUUACAUUGAUAGAAGCAACACUCUAUCUGCAAAAUUAAAGCUGAUCCAUCCCCUGAGUCUUUGAAUUUUUUUUAACAAAACAAUAUAAAGACAAAAAAAAAACUAGAGCACAGGAACACGCUGGAAGGACUUGACCAACUGGCAACAGACAAGCAGAAAACGCAGGAGAGGAUGCCUAGCGGCUGUAUCCAAGAGGCAGAAAAAAUAAUGGUCCUACGUCCAACGCUUUCAAUAGAGGUGAUGCUCAGGAGAUCGUCAGAGACGUGUCUGCAUCAAAACCUUCCAAUUGGAGAUCUGGUUAAGAACUACUUCAAACAGCUGGGCAACUUUCUUUCACGUGAGUAUUUCAGCUCCUGCUCAUGGGAGGUCAUGAGAGCUGAAAUCGGGAGCAUCCUGAAGGAUUUUUACAAGAAAUCAAAAAUGCCAAAAAUGUGAGAGUAGUAUUACUUUUAGUUAAUUUCUGCAAAAAAUGAAUAAAUGAAAUUUGCUACUGUGAG